GAAAAUCAAUAUUCUUUUUGCACCCUACACGAUCUCUUUUCACUUCAACAACGUUUUUGUAUUUCUUACCGUCAACUAAGAGUACAGAGUGUGACUAUGACCACUCUGAAUUUUUUGUGUGCUCUGCAGAAACGGAGCAGGGAGUUGCUCUGGCUAUAUUAAAAGGAGAAAUUGACUUCCAACGUGAUCCAUUUCCAAGUAUAUCAAGCAGUGCCAUAGAGUUGGUUCGCAGGAUGCUAACACUGGAUCCAAAAAGGCGGAUUACUGCUGCUCAAGUUCUAGGUAUAAAGCAUUGGAUCCUCAUGUUAUUAAUUUUUCUCAUUCAUUCUAUCUAUGCUGCUUUGAUUACUGCAAGUUAAAAUUUAUUGGUCUAUUUAAUAAUACAAAUGGUAUAGCUACCACUGAAAAAUGUAUAUGAUAUGCAGAGCACCCUUGGCUUAAAGAAAGUGGAGAAGCAUCAGAUAAGCCAAUUGAUACUGCUGUUAUUUUCAGGAUGAAGCAGUUUACGGCAAUGAAUAAACUAAAGAAACUUGCACUAAAGGUAAGUCUAACUGUCUAAGGCCCAUGAGUCCCUCCUAAAUGAGCUUAAACUUGAGAAAUACUUGGAUAGGAUUGAUAGAUAUAAAGGAAAGUGACAAAGCUUGUAUCUUAAGCACACGUGACAAAUAAUAUACAUGUGUCAAAAGAUUCUCCAAAUUAUAACAUGUAUGUGAAUCUAUACCUGAUGACAUUGUAUGCAUGUUCAUGACGACAUUUUAAUUCUAAAUAUUAUAACAGAAAUUUAUAUGACUGACUAUCAUGAGUUACAUGUUUGAUUGAAAUUUUGCAUCUACGCUUCCUCGUCAACAACAUUAUAUUGUAUUGUUGUAUUUUGAAAACUUGUGCAAGCCAAUAAAAAUUUAUGUAUUCUAUUGUGUUCGCCCUACUGAUAAACCAUGUGUUCUUUAGGUCAUUGUGGAAAAUCUUCCUACUGAAGAAAUACAAAAACUAAAAGAAAAAUUUACAGAGAUGGACACUGACAACAGUGGCACUCUUACUUACGAUGAAUUGAAGGAAGGAUUAGCUAAACUUGGAUCGACACUUACAGAAUUUGAUGUCAAGCAGUACAUGCAGGCUGUAAGUAAUUCAUGAACGCUGAGUUUAUCACACUGUCUGUCUAUUUGCAUUAUACCCAGCUGAUAUUGUUGGCUCUGCAUUUCUGCAGGCUGAUAUAGAUGGAAAUGGGACCAUUGACUACAUUGAGUUUAUAACAGCUACGAUGCAAAGGCACAAGCUACAAAGAUUUGAAAAUCUUUAUAAAGCCUUUCAGUACUUUGACAAGGAUAAUAAUGGGUAAGCUUCUCAUUUUAUUUUUAUUAUUAUAGAAGCAUGUUGAGCAUUAUUUGCAUCCUCAGUUUUUUCAUGAUCUGAAUGGGGAAUAUUGAAAACCUACUCCCUCCAUUAACUGGCUAAAAUUUAAUGGGUUAUAUCUGGAGUCAAUUGACUAAUUAAUGAAGUUUUUAUUCUAAAUGGCUAUGUAGAUAUAUCACGGUAGAUGAACUCGGAAAAGCUUUCAAAGAUUAUGGCAUGGGUGAUGAUGCCACAAUUGCUACAAUUAAAGAAAUAAUGUCUGAAGUUGACAGAGACAAAGUAAGUUGAUUUUCAGUUUCAAGGGCAUUAGUAAUUUGUCUUCAUUAUUGUAAGUCAAUUCCCACGCCUUUAAUUUGUGUAUACAGGAUGGUAGAAUCAGCUAUGAUGAAUUUCGUUCAAUGAUGAAAUGCGGAACCCAACUGCGAGCAUUGUCUUCUAGAUCUCUGGCUCAUGUUGUAACCGUAAGACGCAAGGUAUUCUGGUAGGUAAACUGUGUUGUUAUUCAUCGUUUUCUGUAUAUCUUUGUAAAUUUUGUUAUUGCAGUUUUGUGAGAGUGUAUUAGAACAAUAAUAGUCAUAUACGGAAUUGCACAAAAUUACCUUCUUCCCAUUUUCUUCUUACAGUCAAAUAAAUAAAUAUUAGGAAGUGAACAAAUUUUGUGAUGCAUACAUAGGCUCUGAAUAUUGUAGGAUCAAAAGAUUUAUGCAGUAUUUCUAUUAAGAUUUGUUUCUAUGAAAUAAAAUACAGUUGAAACAAAUACAUGGAUGAGUACACAUACAGUUGAAACAAAUACAUGGAUGAGUACACAUACAGUUGAAACAAAUACUUGGAUGAGUACACGCUUUAUUCUAUGAAUCUCCUUUGAUUCAAAAAAGGAAAAUGCAGAGAGGCGAGAGAGAAGACAUUGGCAAAAAUCACCAUCAUCACAGCAGCAAACGGGCACUUAAUAAAUUAGAAAGUCUUUCUUCUCGUCACAAUAAUUAACCUUUCUUGAUUUGCCCAAUUUUGUUAAAAUGUUAAGCCUAGAGAGAGCUUCGCCACUUAGCCAUUGCAACUUGGGGGUUUAAUUGCACUCGAAUCGCUAUUUCAGCCUCUGAGGAAGACGAAUUAGAGGACAAUGCCUGUGGGUCAGUGUGUUAACAUAAGCAAAAUUGUAAACGGCAGUGAUCCUUCAACAGCUUUGAAAACUCGCUCUUUUUAUCAAUCAAUUUCUUCAAGCUGAGACCUUGUUCAGAGAUGGAGAGGGGAACAACAAAGAGAGAAAAGGACUUGAAAAAUAAAAUAAAAAAUUGUUUGCAUUAAAUUAUUUGCAAAUCUAAGGUUAUUUUUUUAUUACUAGUGGAUAAUAUUAGGGGCAAAUAUAAUACAUUCAUCGGUCAACUAUGGUUUGACCAUAAAGAAAAAAACAAAAAACUAAUGACAUGAGGGUGGGGGGAUGACUUUUCCAAUAAUUGAACCAUAAUAAACCCCAAAAAAAACGCAUUUUUUACGAAUUAUUUUAUAUAUUAAAUGCAAUUAUCUUCAUAUUAUUAAUCUGUUAGAAGAUUUUUAUUGGGAAUAUUAAUUUUUGUACUAUUUAUAAAAUUUUUUAAACAAUAAUGAAUUAUGUGGGCUAUGUGUAUAUUUGAAAGAUAUAAUUUAAUUUAUUGAUUUUUUAAAUUUAUGGGGAGAAUAAAAAUAUGAAUGGAAUCUUUGUUAUUCAUUGUUUGAGUCAUGGGGAAGGUUCAUUAUCGGGUUACACCACCAUCAUUUAUUCAAACUUCUAUCCUAUCCCACGCGUUUCUUUUUCGCUGACCAUUUCGAACAAAAGCCAAAAAAUUUCAGAAUUUCUUACCAAAAAAAAUAAAGGGCCAAUAAAUUUUAACCAUAAUGACGCAUAGUUUGAUAGAAAAAAUACAUACGCGUACCAAUAUAUAGUUGAUAUCUCCGAAUUGGGCAAGCUGGAAUUGCUCUUUGUAUUUUAUUUUACUUUUCCUUAAAAUCUCACUUGAUUCCCUAUAAUUUAUCUUUGAUCUCAAGUGGAUUUGUUCCAGUUGACUUCUGUAAAGAUCCAGACAUCCAGAGUUAAGCUUGAGCUGAGCCUCUUAUGCAGAAAUGGGUGGCUGUUUAAGCAAAAUCCCGGGCUCCUCAAAGCCAGCAGCAGCCCGACAGCAGCAACCACCUAAACUAGAUGAUGCAAUUCUUGGUAAACCGUACGAGGAUGUCAGGUUGCAUUACACCAUUGGGAAAGAACUGGGUAAGGGAGCAUUUGCUGUUACAUAUCUUUGUACUGAGAAUUCAACCGGUUUGCAAUUUGCUUGCAAGUCUAUCUCUAAGAAAAAAAUUGUAGCUGCGUAUGAAAAGGAUGAUGUAAGAAGAGAGAUUGAGAUAAUGCGACAUUUGAGUGGGCAGCCUAAUAUAGUUCAAUUUAAGGGUGCUUAUGAGGACAGGCAUUCUGUGCAUAUUGUCAUGGAGUUAUGUGCUGGUGGUGAGCUAUUUGACCGAAUUAUAGCCAAGGGCCAUUAUAGUGAGAGAGAUGCGGCUUCUGUAUUCAGGGUAAUUAUGAAUGUUGUGAAUGUUUGCCACUCUAAGGGUGUUAUGCACAGGGAUCUCAAACCUGAGAAUUUCUUGUUCACUACCAGGGAUGAGAAUGCUGUUUUGAAGGCCACUGAUUUUGGGUUAUCAGUGUUCUUUGAAGAGGGUAAAUUUCUUCACCAUAUAUAUGUUUGUAUUUGAAAUCCAUUAUAGUCACCAUAUAUAUGUUUGUAUUUGAAAUCUUAUAUUUACAUACGUUCAUGUGAACCUAAGUUUCGAUGUUCAAUUAUGUCUGAUAAAUGAAUGGCAUUUCCAUUUAAUUUCAAUAGUGAAUUAGACAUGCAGUAUGCCGUGAGGCUUCAUGUAUUACUUUAGAUGAAAUCAUCAGAAAAUAAUGUGAAACUCUUAGGAUCACCAUGAAAGGCUUGUUUAAUCUAGCUAUCAACUUAUCCUUGUCUGAUGAUACCAUGGUGCACUUUCCAGGAAAGGUAUUCAGGGAUUUAGUUGGGAGUGCUUACUAUGUUGCUCCUGAAGUGUUACGGCGCAGAUAUGGGAAGGAAGCAGAUAUUUGGAGCACAGGAGUUAUACUGUAUAUUUUACUAUGUGGUGUGCCUCCAUUUUGGGCAGGUGAAGAUAUUCGUGUUGCCCCCUAGAGGAUCUCUUUUCCCUUCAACACACUAUACUUUUUCGUUACUAAUAUCCAGAAGUAUAGCAGUAAUCACUAAUCACUCACAAGUUAUGAUGUGCUCUGCAGAAACUGAGAAGGGCAUUUUUGAAGAAAUAUACAAAGGAGAAAUUGACUUUCAAACUGAUCCAUGGCCAAUUAUUUCAAGCAGUGCCAAGGAGUUGGUUCGCAGGAUGCUGACACAGAAUCCAAAAAGGCGGAUUACCGCUGCACAAGUUCUAGGUAUAAAACAUUAGAUUGUGAAUUUAUUAGUUUUUCUCGCCCAGGCUGCUUUGAUAAUUAUAAGUUAAACUUUAUUUAGUCCAGUUAAUGUUACCAAGAGUAUAAGUACCAUUGACAGCCAUAUGCAUGACAUACAGAACACCCUUGGCUUAAAGAAAGUGGAGAAGCAUCAGACAAGCCAAUUGACACUGCUGUUCUUUUCAGGAUGAAGCAAUUUAGGGCAAUGAAUAAACUAAAGAAACUCGCACUAAAGGUAAGUCCAAGGGCCUAUGAUCCUGUCCUUCUAAAUCUUAUGGGAGUGUGAUCUUGAGUCACAUGUUUGAUUAAAUUAUUACAACUUUACUUCCUCAUCAACAUGUUUUAUUUUAGAGCUUUUAUUAUAUCUUAUGAACUAUGUGCAAGUCCAAUGAAUGAAUGCAUUUGAUUGUGCUCCCCUGGCCCUACUGAUAAACUAAUUGGAUCGUAAAUAUAAUUGUAAAGGUCAUAGUGGAAAAUCUUCCGACUGAAGAAAUACAAAUGCUCAAGGAAAAAUUUACAGAGAUGGACACUGACAAGAGUGGUGCACUUAGUUAUGGUGAACUGAAGGCAGGAUUAGCUAAACUUGGAUCGACACUUAGAGAAGUUGAUGUCAAGCAGUACAUGCAAGCUGUAAGCAAUUCAUCAACUCUGAAUUAAUAUUUUAGUCUGUCUAUAUGCAUUAUAGUUGGCUGAUGUUGUUGGCUCCACAUUUCAGGCUGAUAUAGAUGGAAAUGGGACUAUUGACUACAUUGAAUUUAUCACUGCUACAAUGCAAAGACACAAGCUAGAAAGAUUCGAACAUCUUGACAAAGCCUUUCAAUAUUUUGAUAAGGAUAAUGAUCGGUUAGUUUCUUGUUCUAAAAUGUAAAAUUAGAAAACGACCCUUUGGCACUUUGACUGCUCUGUAUACAGCCCAAGAAAAACCUUUGUUAUGCUUUUUGUAUAACAUGAACUGAAACAUAUAUAAUAUUAUCAGAAUUUAAAACAAAAGAAAAAAUCUUUUUGUGGUGGCUUCUGUAAUUGGUUAAAAAGAAAACUUACCCCAAAAUCAAUAUCAGAAGUGAAGUUAGGGAAUUAAGUACUGCAGUUCUUUCUCAAAAUGCUGUGCAGCUAUAUCACAGUCGAUGAACUGGAAAUAGCAUUUAAAGAAUACAACAUGGGUGAUGAUGCCACAAUUAAAGAAAUAAUGUCUGAAGUUGAUAGAGACAAAGUAAGUCGAUUCUUACUUUUGAACAUGUUUAAUUUGUCCGCAUUAUUGUUGUUAUAAGCUUAGUUCUCACAUCUUUUGUGUUUAUAGGACGGCAGGAUCAGCUAUGAUGAAUUUUGUGCAAUGAUGAAAAGGGGAACACAACCGCGAGAAUUCUCUUCCAGAUCUCUGUCUCAUGUUGUAACCAUGAGACGCAAGAUUUUAUGGUAGAUAAACUGUACGUGCCAUUCAAUAGUUUUCCAAAUACAUGGUGUUAUAUUUGUCUAAACUAAACAGGGCAUUACGGUGCCACUAUCCGAGUGGUGAAUUUUUGUCUUCAAAUUUGAAUCGAGUCCCAUGCGGCUCAAAGUGCCAUGAUGUCUUGUUUAGUUUAGAUAAGUACAACAUCAAGUUCUUGGAAUCUUGGAUCCAAUUGUACAGUACGGAUUGAAUCUACUACUCGAUUACUUCGACGAUAUCGAUGUAUCGUCAUUUUUUUUUUUGGUGAAUAAUUUGAGCUGUAAAUAAUUAUGCAACUUAAAUAUUGUAAGGAAUCGGGUGUUUACGUGAUUUAUUAUUAUUUUUGUAAUGAGACGAGAAGAAUAAAUAUGAACAGAAAGAGUAAAUUGUUGUUGAUAUUUAUCAGUUUUUAAAUUCAUUUAAUUAAUGUGUGCUUUUACAGAUUUUUUUCGAUCCCAAAUGGAUUUGCUUGGUAUUGUGCAAAUUAACAUUUGGCCCGUAUAAUUAUGUUAACGGAAUUGAAUUAUAAAAUUUGAAAGAAUAAAUUGUAUAGAGUAAUUAUCAGAAAUCUUAACUCUUAAGUGACUGUACGAACCUUCGAUUAAAGACAUUGAAAAUUUAUUUUUACCCAUUACCCAUCAAUUUGGUACGUGAAAUUUGAAGAACCUGUUUGGUUCAUAAAUUAACUAAUAAUUACGAAAGUAAAGCUGGGUGUAGUGCAUGGUUUUGUGGAAAUACGAGGCAUGUUGAAGUAUUCUUAAAAAAUAAGGGGCCUAGUGGGGUAUUAGGCUAGAAAACAGGGGUGUGGUGUGAUAACUGAAAAUAUUAUUUUUGGACCUUUUUUUAGUGAGGAGGAGGCCAGACAAGACAAGUGGACAACAGGACAAGUGCAAGUGCCCGACUCCGCCCGAUCUUCUCCUCCCUCAUCUCUCUAUUUUUAUUUUUUUUUCAUUUUUCCUUUUUUUUCCCCUCAUAGUUAGUUUGCAUUUUUAUGCAGAAGUUUGAACUUGGAAUAUUUUCAAUCUUCUAAAAAGCUUUGUUAACUCAGUUGUUUGGAAAUAAUAAAUAAUUGUUAUCAAUGAGGAAUCAGAAGUUCUCCAAUGUUACUAUAUGCUGUCUCUUUGCCGCCUGCAACCAGUGGCCAAAUCAUAAUCUUUGAUUUGAUGGUUAUUUUGUUAUAAAUAGUAACUAACAGAGGUUACAGGAUGAUAAAGACUGCUUUUGAGGAUAACUUUGUACAUAGAGGGGUCAUUUUGGUUGAAUGACAUCUAACAGGGGCGAAAAUACAAAUAAGAUAUACACGGGCCCUGCCUUCAAUAUUUUUUGCUAUUUUUUGAUUACACAGAUAUUGUAAUCAGAAGCUUAUUGAUAUACAAUUGAUAUACAAUCAGACACUUAUCGGGAUUUUUUUUGUCUUUUGCUGCAGUUGUAGGACACAGUCUGAAUAUUCUUUCCUCACAUACUAUUGGAGGACACCCGACUCUGCUUUUUUUGUCUUUUGCUACAGUUUUAGGACGAAGUCUGAAUAUUCUUUAUUCACAUACUAUUGGAGGACGCCCUACUCCCAAGCAAAGGAAUAUCGACUCCAUUCUAAGAGAUAAUCGAGUCCUAUCAAAGCUAGGACUUGAACCUAGGAACAUUCAAGUCACUCGAAGUUGAGUGGCUGGACUGUUGCCAAUGGACUAAGAGCCUAUUGGAAAAUUGGGAGAAGUUUAGUUAAUAAUCAUUGAUCAUUGAAGGUUCUGUUUUUAGUGUUAGUUUGUAAUAACAAGCUUCUAUCAUAUGAUUUUAUCUCAGUCACUUAAGUCAAUGUAGAGUUGGCUCAAUGUGACCAAAAAUAAAACUCCAAUGUUACUUACAUUUUCUGGUUAUGGUUUGUUGAAGUUUAAGUGUUUUUUUAAUUUAAGUUUUUUGAUUGAGUAAUUAGUCUGAUACUGAGGAGUUUUAUGGCAGCUGAAUUUGGUACAGAUUACAAAGGAUCGAUCAUGGAUCAAGAAUUACCAACAACCAUGGACCAUGAACUACUCAAUGUAUUAAGACGUGAGGAUGAACAUCAAAUCAGGCUACUCGCAGUUCGAAUGCAAAAUAUUUUCAGCACAAUGAGUCCCCGAGGCAACAUAGUGCUUCAUAUGGCUAUCAGAUUUCAAAAACAUAAAGUGGUACAGGAGAUUCUCUGGCGACAGCUUUCACUUCUCCGGAAGAACAACUGGAAGGGAGAGACUGCAUUGCUUAUUGCUGCCAGGGCUGGUGACCCUGCUAUCGUUAGUACACUCUUGAAUUAUGUGCCGGCAGUUAAAAAUGGAACGGAAGCAGAACCAGAGAGCCUUUUAAGGAUGACAGAAUUUGAAGGCAACACUUCUCUGCAUAAUGGGGUAGGGGAGUAUUUUAUCAAACUGUACAAAAGUUUACAUGCCAGGGGUACGGGGGUAUUUUCCAAAAUAAAGGGGUAAUGGGGUAUUGAGCCAAACAUCAGGCAGCAUUGAGCAAUUUACAAGCAAAUUAUUAUAAGCAGCACAUAUAUUAUAGUUUUGUUUAGCAACUCGGAAGUGUUUUUAAUAGAGGACAGUAGAAUUGGCUACACAGCGGUCUUCUUCUAACAAAUCUCAUUCUAAAUUUCAAAGAAUCAAUUUAAAGGCAGAAACUAUGAUGUAAGCUGUAUACAUCUUGGGUCCUGCAUAUUCUUUGAAAUUGCCCAUCUGUGAAAGUCAAAUCCUGAGGUCCUGUCUUGCAUCCUCUGUGGUGGUGGCGGCCAGAAAUGGGUUGCAUUUUCAGCACAAGCCAAGACUCAGACCGCCCAGCAGCAUGCCAACUCCAUGAUGCAAUUCUUGGUAAAGCUUAUGAGGACGGUAAGUUACAUUAUACUAUUGGCAAAGAAUUGGAUAAUGGUGAAUUUGGUAUAACUUUUCUAAUUGUCUUUGUAUUGAGAAUUCAACCGGUUUGCAGUUUGCUUGCAAGUCUAUUUCUAAAAGAAAAUUGGUAAAAGAUUAUGAAAAGGAUGAUGUAAGAAGAGAGGUUGCGGUAAUGCAAUAUUUGAGUGGGCAGCCUAAUAUAGUUAAAUUCAAGGCUGCUUAUGAGGAUGACCAAUUUGUGCUAUUGUUAUGGAAUUAUGUGCUGGUGGUGAGUUAUUUGAUCGAAUUGUAGCCAGGGGCCAUUAUAGCGAGAGAUCUGCGGCUUCUGUAUUCAGGGUAAUUAUGAAUGUUGUGAAUGUUUGGCGUUCUUAGGGGUGUUAUGCACAGAGACCUCAGACCUGAGAAUUUCUUGUUCACCAGCAUGGACGAGAAUGCUGUUUUGAACGCCAAUGAUUUUGGGUUAUCAGUGUUCAUUGAAGAGGGUAAAUUUCUCGUCCUUCCUUGCAUAUUAUCUAUGUUUAGAUUUUACUGAAUAUAGUAGUCCCUCAUGCCAGUAGAAUUUUCUGAUAUAUAUCAUUUGAGUAAGCCGUAACUCAGCAUAAUGUAUUGAUUUAGGUGAAAAUCAUAACAAAAUAAUGAAAAACUCUUGGGAUCACCAUGAAAGGCAUAUUUAAUUAAUCUAGCUAUUAAUCUAUCCUUUUUUGAUUAUCGCAUGAUACAUUUUCCAGGAAAGGCAUACAGAUAAAUAGUCGGAAGUCCUUACUAUAUUGCUCCCGAAGUAUUAUGGCAAAGUUAUGGGAAGGAAGCAGACAUUUGGAGCGCAGAAGUUAUAUUGUAUAUUUUAUUGUGUGGUGUACCUCCCAUUUGGGCAGGUGACAAUCAAUAUUCAUUUUGCACCCUACAGGAUCUCUUUUCACUUCAACAACGUAUUUGUAUUUCUUACUGUCAACUAAGAGUACAGAGUGUAACUAUGACCACUCUGAAUAUUUUAUGUGCUCUGCAGAAACGGAGCAGGGAGUUGCUCAGGCUAUAUUAAAAGGAGAAAUUAACUUCCAACAUGAUCCAUUUCCAAGUAUAUCAAGCAGUGCCAUAGAGUUGGUUCGCAGGAUGCUAACAC
This 10181-nucleotide long non-coding RNA is filed under the name Citrus x clementina. RNAcentral describes it as "Citrus clementina (C. clementina) long non-coding RNA (CCLE_LNC006787)". Lineage: Eukaryota; Viridiplantae; Streptophyta; Magnoliopsida; Sapindales; Rutaceae. The record is from RNAcentral.